Long non-coding RNA from Solanum lycopersicum (tomato), 787 nucleotides. RefSeq lists it as uncharacterized. NCBI's taxonomy places the organism in Eukaryota, Viridiplantae, Streptophyta, Magnoliopsida, Solanales, Solanaceae. The record is from RefSeq and is a predicted model, not a curated record.
UAAAAUUUCAUUCCCUCCCUUUAUUUUUUCAUUUGCCUCCUUUUCUAUUUUUUCCCUCUAUUCAUCACUUCACCCAAAACCAACCCUUAAAAUCUAAACCGAUUUCUGCCCAAAAUUCAAUUCUAUUCUUCAAAAUCGAUUUCUGCCCAAAAUUCAACUCUCUUCUUCAAAAUCGAAAUCUGUCAAAACCAGCUUCAAAUAGUUGUGGAAUGUGAUAUCUGAGCAUCUACCUAAAGAUCAGGAACUUGCUGCCAGUUCGUGUGUUCCUAUGAAGAUACUAGCUCAUCCUAAUAAUGCCAUUGGAAAACUGUAUGGAGUUGAACAUUCUGGCCGCGUGCGUGGUUUAGGUGGUAAUAUUUACCCUUCAAAUGCUUUUGGAGUGUCUCGUAUUCAAUUAGUCAUGCGAAUCUUGGGUAGCUCUAGUAGUAUGUCUCAUCAACAUGUUGGAGACCUAGAGAAACAUGUGGAAACCUUGAAAGAAAGGGAUAUAAAGAGACCAAAGAACAGCUUGAGGCGACCAAAUAAACGCUCGAGGAAACUAAGAAUCGGCUUGUGCAAAAUGAGACUAAUCUUCUUAGCCUUUAGUAUAUUUGAAAACAAACUAUAUAGAUAUGGUGUUUCAUUUAACUUUUAGUAUUUUCAUUACUCUAGCAUUUAUAGUAUUUUGUAUGAAUAUUCAAGGUUUGAAGAUCUUAUGUUUUGUGACUAUAUGUAGAACAAUGUUGGAAUUUUUUGUAUGCUAGUCAAUUUAUCAGUGAAUCAUUUGGAAAUCAUUUUAUUUUAUCAA